RNAcentral lists this ribosomal RNA (264 nucleotides) under Triticum aestivum (bread wheat). RNAcentral describes it as "partial small subunit ribosomal RNA". The record is from RNAcentral. Lineage: Eukaryota; Viridiplantae; Streptophyta; Magnoliopsida; Poales; Poaceae.
AUGUGCAACUGCUUUCCCCCGUUAUCUGCUCAAUGCCGUGACAGCAAAAAGAGUCACACGCCAUCUGGCCUCAGCGUCGGCCCGAUGGCUGCUGUUGCACACGCCAAGGACGCCGCCAGCGUCACCGUCGAGCUCGCGGACGAGGCGCGCGUCCGCGUCCAGGCCUGCAGCGACUGGAUCAUCGACUCGGUGGCAAACGGCGGUGACAUCUACGGCGUCACCACGGGCUUCGGUGACAUCUACGAAGGAAAAUGCAGACAAUAA